RNAcentral lists this ribosomal RNA (449 nucleotides) under uncultured bacterium. RNAcentral's name for it is "partial 16S ribosomal RNA". It matches the Rfam family "Bacterial small subunit ribosomal RNA", at positions 354 to 796 of the family's 1533-position model. The record is from RNAcentral.
GUGGGGAAUAUUGGACAAUGGGCGAAAGCCUGAUCCAGCCAUGCCGCGUGUGUGAAGAAGGUCUUCGGAUUGUAAAGCACUUUAAGUUGGGAGGAAGGGCAUUAACCUAAUACGUUAGUGUUUUGACGUUACCGACAGAAUAAGCACCGGCUAACUUCGUGCCAGCAGCCGCGGUAAUACGAAGGGUGCAAGCGUUAAUCGGAAUUACUGGGCGUAAAGCGCGCGUAGGUGGUUUUGUAAGUUGGAAGUGAAAUCCCCGGGCUCAACCUGGGAACUGGCUCCAAAACUGCAUGACUAGAGUACGGUAGAGGGUAGUGGAAUUUCCUGUGUAGCGGUGAAAUGCGUAGAUAUAGGAAGGAACACCAGUGGCGAAGGCGACUACCUGGACUGACACUGACACUGAGGUGCGAAAGCGUGGGGAGCAAACAGGAUUAGAAACCCUUGAGUCC